UACGUAGGGUGCGAGCGUUGUCCGGAAUUAUUGGGCGUAAAGAGCUCGUAGGCGGUUUGUCGCGUCGACUGUGAAAACCCGAGGCUUAACCUCGGGCCUGCAGUCGAUACGGGCAGACUAGAGUUCGGUAGGGGAGGCUGGAAUUCCUGGUGUAGCGGUGAAAUGCGCAGAUAUCAGGAGGAACACCGGUGGCGAAGGCGGGUCUCUGGGCCGAUACUGACGCUGAGGAGCGAAAGCGUGGGGAGCGAACAGG
RNAcentral lists this ribosomal RNA (253 nucleotides) under uncultured bacterium. RNAcentral describes it as "partial 16S ribosomal RNA". It matches the Rfam family "Bacterial small subunit ribosomal RNA", at positions 524 to 776 of the family's 1533-position model. The record is from RNAcentral.